CAAAAAUCCGCCACCACUGGUUGCCCGGCGGGGUCGGUGGAAAGUGUGAUGUAUCAUAGAUAAAAUGCAGAUCUGAGAGACACAGAUGAAAGCGUAGGAGAGUAGGAUGAAUGUGGACACUGGCGAUGAGAGAGAA
Caenorhabditis elegans is the source of this 136-nucleotide non-coding RNA. Lineage: Eukaryota; Metazoa; Nematoda; Chromadorea; Rhabditida; Rhabditidae. The record is from Ensembl.